RNAcentral lists this long non-coding RNA (160 nucleotides) under Aedes aegypti (yellow fever mosquito). RNAcentral describes it as "lncRNA AAEL019346". It matches the Rfam family "Sphinx conserved region 2". Lineage: Eukaryota; Metazoa; Arthropoda; Insecta; Diptera; Culicidae. The record is from RNAcentral.
CCGCUGGAGCCGUGAGCCGUACCUUUUGGAGAUGGCAACACAAAUACUGGAAACCCAAGCGGAUGGGAAUUGCCCCGUUCUUCCAGGCCUUUGUCGACGGAAUGGUGUUCUUCUAUGCCAUCAACUGCGGCAAACGGAAGCAUCACAGCAGGAACUACAA